GACGAACGCUGGCGGCGUGCUUAACACAUGCAAGUCGAACGGAAAGGCCCUGCUUGCAGGGUACUCGAGUGGCGAACGGGUGAGUAACACGUGGGUGAUCUGCCCUGCACUUCGGGAUAAGCCUGGGAAACUGGGUCUAAUACCGGAUAGGAGCCAUUUUUAGUGGGAUGGUUGGAAAGUUUUUUCGGUGUAGGAUGAGCUCGCGGCCUAUCAGCUUGUUGGUGGGGUAAUGGCCUACCAAGGCGGCGACGGGUAGCCGGCCUGAGAGGGUGGACGGCCACAUUGGGACUGAGAUACGGCCCCGACUCCUACGGGAGGCAGCAGUGGGGAAUAUUGCACAAUCGGCGCAAGCCUGAUGCAGCGACGCCGCGUGGGGGAUGACGGCCUUCGGGUUGUAAAAUCCUUUCGCUAGGGACUAAGCUUUUUGUGACGGUACCUAGAUAAGAAGCACCGGCUAACUACGUG
This 465-nucleotide ribosomal RNA is filed under the name uncultured bacterium. RNAcentral's name for it is "partial 16S ribosomal RNA". It matches the Rfam family "Bacterial small subunit ribosomal RNA", at positions 28 to 507 of the family's 1533-position model. The record is from RNAcentral.